UUGCUCCCGGAUGUUAGCGGCGGACGGGUGAGUAACACGUGGGUAACCUGCCUGUAAGACUGGGAUAACUCCGGGAAACCGGAGCUAAUACCGGAUAGUUCCUUGAACCGCAUGGUUCAAGGAUGAAAGACGGUUUCGGCUGUCACUUACAGAUGGACCCGCGGCGCAUUAGCUAGUUGGUGGGGUAAUGGCUCACCAAGGCGACGAUGCGUACCCGACCUGAGAGGGUGAUCGGCCACACUGGGACUGAGACACGGCCCAGACUCCUACGGGAGGCAGCAGUAGGGAAUCUUCCGCAAUGGACGAAAGUCUGACGGAGCAACGCCGCGUGAGUGAUGAAGGUUUUCGGAUCGUAAAGCUCUGUUGUUAGGGAAAAACAAGUGCGAGAGUAACUGCUCGCACCUUGACGGUACCUAACCAGAAAGCCACGGCUAACUACGUGCCAGCAGCCGCGGUAAUACGUAGGUGGCAAGCGUUGUCCGGAAUUAUUGGGCGUAAAGGGCUCGCAGGCGGUUUCUUAAGUCUGAUGUGAAAGCCCCCGGCUCAACCGGGGAGGGUCAUUGGAAACUGGGAAACUUGAGUGCAGAAGAGGAGAGUGGAAUUCCACGUGUAGCGGUGAAAUGCGUAGAGAUGUGGAGGAACACCAGUGGCGAAGGCGACUCUCUGGUCUGUAACUGACGCUGAGGAGCGAAAGCGUGGGGAGCGAACAGGAUUAGAUACCCUGGUAGUCCACGCCGUAAACGAUGAGUGCUAAGUGUUAGGGGGUCUCCGCCCCUUAGUGCUGCAGCUAACGCAUUAAGCACUCCGCC
Molecule: ribosomal RNA, 809 nt
Filed under: Peribacillus acanthi
Lineage: Bacteria; Bacillati; Bacillota; Bacilli; Caryophanales; Bacillaceae
Description: bacterial SSU rRNA
Rfam family: Bacterial small subunit ribosomal RNA
Source: RNAcentral